GCGGGCGUAGCUCAGCGGUAGAGCCCCGGUUUUCCAAACCGAAUGUCGUGGGUUCGAUCCCCACCGCCCGCUCCA
Molecule: transfer RNA, 75 nt
Filed under: Cypionkella sp.
Lineage: Bacteria; Pseudomonadati; Pseudomonadota; Alphaproteobacteria; Rhodobacterales; Paracoccaceae
Description: tRNA-Gly
Rfam family: tRNA
About the family: Transfer RNA (tRNA) molecules are approximately 80 nucleotides in length. Their secondary structure includes four short double-helical elements and three loops (D, anti-codon, and T loops).
Source: RNAcentral